RNAcentral lists this ribosomal RNA (447 nucleotides) under uncultured bacterium. RNAcentral's name for it is "SSU rRNA". It matches the Rfam family "Bacterial small subunit ribosomal RNA", at positions 26 to 518 of the family's 1533-position model. The record is from RNAcentral.
AGAGCGAACGCUGGCGGCAGGCCUAACACAUGCAAGUCGAGCGCCCGUAGCAAUACGGGAGCGGCAGACGGGAGAGUAACACGUGGGAACGCGCCCUUCGGUUCGGAAUAACUCAGGGAAACUUGAGCUAAUACCGGAUACGCCCUUACGGGGAAAGAUUUAUUGCCGAAGGAACGGCCCGCGUCCGAUUAGCUUGUUGGUGAGGUAACGGCUCACCAAGGCGACGAUCGGUAGCUGGUCUGAGAGGAUGACCAGCCUCACUGGGACUGAGACACGGCCCAGACUCCUACGGGAGGCAGCAGUGGGGAAUAUUGGACAAUGGGCGCAAGCCUGAUCCAGCCAUGCCGCGUGGAUGAUGAAGGCCCUAGGGUUGUAAAGUCCUUUUAACGGGAAGAUAAUGACGGUACCCGUAGAAUAAGCCCCGGCUAACUUCGCGCCAGCAGCCGC